AUGAUUGGCCGUAAAGCAUCUGUAGGUGGCUUUUUAAGUCCGCCGUCAAAUCCUAGGGCUCAACCCUGGACAGGCGGUGGAAAAUAGCAAGUUGGAGUACGGUAGGCUAGGGGUUAUAGUCAACGUUGAUUCAUCAUUUUGAACGUCUCUAAUUCAAAACCGAACAUGAAACUUUGGUUUCAUUUGGC
RNAcentral lists this ribosomal RNA (188 nucleotides) under Olea europaea subsp. europaea. RNAcentral's name for it is "SSU_rRNA_bacteria". The record is from RNAcentral. Lineage: Eukaryota; Viridiplantae; Streptophyta; Magnoliopsida; Lamiales; Oleaceae.